AUAAUAUAUUGGAGGGGUUGUUGUUGUUUCUUUUCUUCUUUUCUUUUCUUUUAUGGUACUGAAAAUUGAACCCAGGGCCUUUGCACUCAACUAUAUUCUCAACCCUUUUACUUUUUUAUCUUGAGACAAAGUCUUGCUAAAUUGCCCAGGCUGGGCUUGAACUUGUUGUCCUCCUGACUCAUCACGGGUAUGUACUACACUUGGCUAAUUAGAGUAAUGGAACUUUUUUUUAGUGCUGGGGAUUGAACCUAGGGACUUGUGCAUACAACAUGCACCCUCUACCACUGAGCUGCCCAACUCCAGCCUGCAGGUCUUUUGUUUUUUGGUACCAGGAAUCGAACUCAGGACCUCAUGCUUGCCACUCAGGCACUUGUGCCGCUGAGCUAUAUCCCUGGCCCUAGCCUCCAGCUCUUUUGACUAGCCCUUCUAGCUGCUGCUUCCCUGAUGAUCACUUAUCGUUUCUUGUGUACUGCUGUAAUGACCUCCUAAUUAGUCUUGCUGCCAAUAAAUUCUGCCUCCACCAAUUCAUCCUGUACCCUUUACUAGCUCAAACACUAUUCUCCAGCUUUAAAGCCUGUUUCUCAUUUCAGGAACAAGUAUACACGUCUCCAAGCCUCCCUGCAGAGCCUGUUUCAAAAAUAACCUCCUGCUCCAGUUUCAAUGUGUCUCCAUAUACUGGAAACUUAAUCCCCAGUGCAACAGUACUGAGAAGUAAGACCUGCCAAGACAGCAUUGAAGGAAAGAGAUUUGAAUUCAAAUCCUGGCUCAACUCUCCCAAGCUGCUGGCCCCAGGUCCCGAGACUGUGGAGGAGUGACAGUAGGAUACAGGACAAUCGAGGGGAUGCUGGAAGCCCUCUGGGACCCGUGCCUUCCUGUGAGGUGCUGAAGUCAUUGCUGUAGCUGGAAGUGUCCUUAGUUAUAAACUGUUCUUGAAAUUUUGUAUUCCCUGAAUCAUACAAUAUUAUCUCUUAAAAAAGGAUCUUAUGAGCCUGGCAUUAUCGAGAGCCAUUCUACAUAACUUUGGGGGGGAAAUCAUUUCAUAAUUAAAUUGUGGUGAAGGUUUGUCUGGGGCCUAGUAUCUCGCUGUGUGAGCCGCUGCGGUAUGAGGAAACAUAACUCCCUGUGAGUCCACUCACAGUUGAGGGUUCAGCAGUCGCAUGAUGCUGUGACCUCUGGGGCAAGAUUACAUCAGCUGAAAACAUCCUGGUUCCUUCAAAACCGAGUAGAAAUUUUUUUAAAAAAAGUUUUGCCUGGGGGGAGGGGCAAACUCCUUAUUAAUCUGCUAGCUCUUCCCACCUGCUAUUGUAGAAACACUUUGCACAUCCCACUGUCUUCACCAACAUAAGCCCCUCAUCACUAUUAGAUCCCCACUACCCUCCACGUCACCUGAAAUGAUCCUCAUCGCACAAGACCUUCAUCAGUGCAAGAUCACUGCCACCUCUGCAUCAUCCGAUACUCCAUUACUGUGUGCACCCAAUAAAAUAGCGUCAUUGGCUCAGAGUGGCUUUGUCUCUGCGCAUCCUGAGGCACUGAC
This 1534-nucleotide long non-coding RNA is filed under the name Chinchilla lanigera (long-tailed chinchilla). Its description in RNAcentral is "lncRNA (ENSCLAG00000026439.1)". The record is from RNAcentral. Lineage: Eukaryota; Metazoa; Chordata; Mammalia; Rodentia; Chinchillidae.